Molecule: ribosomal RNA, 460 nt
Filed under: uncultured Capnocytophaga sp.
Lineage: Bacteria; Pseudomonadati; Bacteroidota; Flavobacteriia; Flavobacteriales; Flavobacteriaceae
Description: bacterial SSU rRNA
Rfam family: Bacterial small subunit ribosomal RNA
Source: RNAcentral
CCUACGGGAGGCAGCAGUGAGGAAUAUUGGUCAAUGGUCGGAAGACUGAACCAGCCAUGCCGCGUGCAGGAAGAAUGCCUUAUGGGUUGUAAACUGCUUUUAUAUGGGAAGAAUAAGGUGUACGUGUACAUUGAUGACGGUACCAUAUGAAUAAGCAUCGGCUAACUCCGUGCCAGCAGCCGCGUUAAUACGGAGGAUGCGAGCGUUAUUCGGAAUCAUUGGGUUUAAAGGGUCUGUAGGCGGGCUAUUAAGUCAGGGGUGAAAGGUUUCAGCUUAACUGAGAAAUUGCCUUUGAUACUGGUAGUCUUGAAUAUCUGUGAAGUUCUUGGAAUGUGUAGUGUAGCGGUGAAAUGCUUAGAUAUUACACAGAACACCGAUUGCGGAGGCAGGGGACUAACAGACGAUUGACGCUGAGAGACGAAAGCGUGGGGAGCGAACAGGAUUAGAUACCCCGGUAGUC